GCCGAAGUGGCGGAAUGGCAGACGCAGAGGACUCAAAAUCCUCCAUGGGCAACCAUGUGUGGGUUCGACUCCCACCUUCGGCACCA
RNAcentral lists this transfer RNA (86 nucleotides) under Candidatus Sumerlaeaceae bacterium. RNAcentral's name for it is "tRNA-Leu". It matches the Rfam family "tRNA". Rfam says of the family: Transfer RNA (tRNA) molecules are approximately 80 nucleotides in length. The record is from RNAcentral. Lineage: Bacteria; Candidatus Sumerlaeota; Candidatus Sumerlaeia; Candidatus Sumerlaeales; Candidatus Sumerlaeaceae.